GGGCAGCGCUCGGGCCCCGCCCCCCGGAGGGCCGAGGCCGCGCGGCCGGCGCUCCCCUCCUCCGCCUCCCGCCGCGACCCCUGCGGGGCGCGGGGUACCAGCCCUGCCCGCUUGCGAGCCCCGAGCAGACGCCGAGCUGGGGAGGAGGGGCCCAGGGCGCUGCUUCGCACCCCUCCCUGUGGGGCUCGGACUCGAGGGUGGUGCGGCUUUAUUGCCGUGGCCUCGGGCAGGUGGCCGCUGCUCCUCUCGGGUUUUUCAAAGACGGGGAAAGUGACGCCGAGUCGCUAAAAGUCACUGAGGAGAGUGCCGAGAGGGAUACAGGUCUCUCUGGACGAGAAGUUUCCUUCUUAGGGUGGGAGUUGGAAUUCCCACGCAUCACCGGGGGUCUCCGGAGAGAAACCUGCUGCCUGGCGCUUCCCGAAGUCCCUUCCAGGCUGCAGCGCCCCGGUCGCUCCCUCGGCCGAGAUGUCGGGAUGGGAACUCCCAAGGUGGAAAUCGCUUGUUUCCACAAUCAGUCCUCUCCUGCCUCCUAAUUAGAGGGCCCUCCCCUGCCGCCCACAGUGACUCAGAAGGCAGCUGCGGAGAACAGGAAGGCCGGAGAUUCAUGUGACAAGCCACUGGCCUUCACCAGGGCAGACAAAGCAGUUUCUGCUAAAGAACCUGGCCCGUACCUGGUGUUCAUUCAUAUAGCCUGGAAUAGCCUAUUUCUUAUGAAUGAAAGAAAUGCUAGGCAACAUUUGCUAAAUCAUUUGUUUAUGAGAGCUGAGUGAGGGAUCAUCUGCACAAAAGGUUUCAUGCCCAAAGGUUUGAAAGUCACUUGUCUACAUGUUAUCUGAGGUUCAUUCUAGGUAUGAAUCUGUCACCACCCUCAAUCUAGUCACUAUCUGCUUGGAUCCAUCUUCUCUGCCAAAGUAACAUCAUUGCCCACUUCUGACUGUAUCAUUUCUCCAACCAGAGAUUUCCAUGUGUCAUUCCCAACCUACCUCCUAAUCUCACCCUGCAGGCCUCUAACAUACCUUCGAGAUCAGCUGCACGGGCUCUAUGUAGGACACUCCCCAAAGACGCUUUUCCUUCUGUCUUUCUGCGUGUUCUCCCCUUGCCCAGAUGCCCUCUCCCUCCCACUCCACCCUUGCACUUGGCAAUCCUCAAAUGCUACUUGCCCUGUGGAAGCAUCUAUAAUUUCACCACCCAGAAGCAGUCUCCUCUAUGCUCCUGUGUACUUUGUUCAUGGGGCUUCUGUGUCUCCAGGUCCCAGCUCCCCUGCUGGAUUAAUGUUCCUUAAGAGCAGGCGUCACAUUUUACAGAUUCUUCUACCCAGCAUGGACACAGCUUAGUACCACAUCCAUAGCAGCUGUUUGAACUCUUUAUUUGGAUUGAAACAGGGCAUGCCUUGGCAGAGCGCAUCCUACCUGCCCAAACCCUUCUGGACCUGCAUGCCAUCUUCUCAAUUCUUCCUCCCCCACUGCCUGGAGAGGGCCACAGUUACAAUGCACAGGUGUUUCCCAUUGUUCUUAGAUGGUAAGAGUACCUGGUUGAUGCUUGGAAGCUGAGAGAACAAGAUCCAGGUAAGUGAGCAGUGAAGGGGACAUGAGAAAGGGACCGGGAGGGGGAGACAAGUCCAGAAGCCUUGGGUGGCAGGCAUACGUAAGGCAUCUGACCCAGGAGGGCAAGGUGUAGGCUGAGGCUGCUGCCGGGGUUUGGAGACACAGUGUCCUGCGGUGGGAAGAAAGCAGCAGACUUUGGAAAGGGACACACCUGUGCUUAAAAUUUACAGCUGUUUAACUUUGGGUGGAUUUCUAACCUUCUGAGCUUCACCUGCAUAUUAAGAAUAAAAGUAUCUGGGGCUGGCCCGGUGGCGCAGCAGCUCAGUGCGCACAUCCUGCUUCGGUGGCCCGGGAUUCACCAGUUCAGAUCCCAGGUGUGGACAUGGCAC
Equus caballus (horse) is the source of this 1933-nucleotide non-coding RNA. Lineage: Eukaryota; Metazoa; Chordata; Mammalia; Perissodactyla; Equidae. The record is from RefSeq and is a predicted model, not a curated record.